This 850-nucleotide long non-coding RNA is filed under the name Gossypium barbadense (sea-island cotton). Its description in RNAcentral is "long non-coding RNA (GBAR_LNC008829)". Lineage: Eukaryota; Viridiplantae; Streptophyta; Magnoliopsida; Malvales; Malvaceae. The record is from RNAcentral.
UGCCAUUUGGUAGAUUUUUCCAGAACAUUAUAUUCUCCAGUUAACUCUCUUCUCAUUUUCUAUCUCCCACAUAAAUAUAGUUGUGUUUUUACCUUCCUUCUGAAGAAACUUGUCUUGCCUUGACUUGAACUUGGCUUAUAUUUAAAAAUUUUCCGCUCUCUUGACCUCUGGUUGGCUAUAUAUAUAUAUUUCCCAAUGACUCGACUGUGCUACCUUUGUCAUAGGAUUUGACAGUUGAAAUUGCUCUUUUUGUAGCAUUCCAAUAGGCCAUCAUUACUUGUUGGAAUCAUAUUUUUCUCUUUUCAAUUGUUCUUGAUCCUUGUCUUUUCUUUGUCUGGCCACUUGGUCGCAUGAAGGUUAAGAACACUUUUAAAUGGACUCAUUUUUUCCCUCUUUUACUUCUGCUAUUGCUUUAAUUUGCUGAGUAAUACUAAUAUGACUUACUUAAUUCAUUUUUGUAUCUGCACUAACUUCUUUUAUCAUGUUUUAGGGCUUACAAACUUGAAAAGCUUACAGAUUUCCUGUAGUAAGGUUACAGAUUUUGGCAUCACUUAUUUAAAAGGUACUACAUGACAAUGUCAUUUGCUGCGAUACUUGACCUUAUGGUAUUAAAAUGAAUAUGAUAAAUUGACAGAUAGUUUCUUCUGUUGGGCUGCCCAGAUUUGGGUGGAUUUUUAUGAGUCUACAACCCCCUACCCCCCAAACAGACACACAUAAAGGCUUUAAUCUAAACUAAGGUGGCCGAUAUUAGAAGGUUUGUUUGCUAUAUGCAUGCCUAAUUCCAUCAAAAGAAAGUCAUUUUAAACCUCUGGACCAGAAUGAAUCAGUUAGUUUUUUAAAUUUCCUGCUU